ACACGUGGGAGCCCAGUUGUUAUGGCGGCCGUCCGGACGCGUGUGCUCCUGGGACUCCGGGAUGCGGCGGUGAAGGGCUGCCCCAAGGGCCUCGCCGCCUGGACCGCUAGCAAGCUGGGUGGCGUCCCGGACGCCCUGCCGGCCGUCUCCACCCCGGGGCCGCGGUGUGACCGCUGCGCACAGCCGCUCUCGCUCGUCGUGCAGCUGUACUGCCCGCUGGAAGGCUCCCCGUUCCAUCGGCUCCUGUUCGUGUUCGCCUGUGCCCGUCCGGGCUGCGGCGACAGCCAGACGCGCAGCUGGAAGGUGUUCCGCUCCCAGUGCCUGCAAGUGCCAGAGAAAGAGACUCGGAACGCGCAGAAUCAGGGCAGUGGCCUUGCAGCCGAGAACUGGUGUGAAGGCUCACAUGACUGGGGAAGUGACACCGAGGAGACGCCUCCGCCGCCACCCACCUCAGAUCUGGGAAGUGAUUCUAAUGACGUCAGAGUGCUAGACUGGACCGAGAAGCUCCAAGCUCUUCACCUGCAGGACACUGCCCUGGCUGUUACCCGCCCUUCCCCUUCCGGGGAAGGGUUGGCAGCCCCCAUGGAAGCGCCACAGUUCCUGCCCUAUUAUAUCUGUGUCGUGGAGGAGGAGGAUUAUGGCAACUUCAUGGAUCUUGAUCAUGCCCACAGCCUUCUGCAGGAGUACCAGCAGAGAGAAGGUGUUGACAUGGAGCAGCUGCUUUCCCUAGGCUCUAGGGAUGGGGAUGAAAAGUACGAGAAGACCAACAUUAGCAGUGGAGACCCGACAUUUUACAAGUUCAUGAAGAGAAUUUCUGUUUGCCAGGAGCAGAUUCUGAGGUAUUCGUGGAGUGGAGAGCCUCUCUUUCUGUCCUGCCCCACAUUUGAAGUCUCUGAGAUCCCAGCCUGCAGUGGCUGUGGAGGCCAGAGGACGUUUGAGUUUCAGCUGAUGCCAGCACUGGUCAGCAUGCUGAGCGGUGCUAAUCUAGGUAAGAAGGCCUGUACUGAGCUUGUCAUAAAAGGAUUGAGACAUUAAAUUGUAAGAAAUUUGUAUUCCUGCAAAAUUCUAAUACCACACUAACAAUGACCAUUUGGAUGAGUCGAGACUGAAGAAGCUAAUUUACACAUAAGGGAUAGAACCAUGUAGAUAGCUGCCUCUGCAGAGCUGUCCUCUGACCUCCAGGUGUGCACCUACAGGAUACGUGCACACCCAUACACGACAAAUAUAAAUUAAUUAUAACCUGCUUGCCUGUGGCUAGGUACAUGCUUCUAGUCCUCUUCUCUCAGGACACUGAGGCAGGACAGUGCUUGAGGACAGACUGGACAACACAGAGACUGUUUCAAAAAGAGAACAAGUUAAGGUAGGGUAGGACAGGUUAGGUCUGGUCUCCUUUGGGAUUAUGAUCCUGAUGAUCAAAUUAGGGUUGGGUUGGGGCUAGAGGGGUGGCUCAGCAGUUAAGAGUACUGGCUGCUCUCCCAGAGGACCCCAAGCUCAAUUCCCAGCACCCACAAGAGAGCUUACACUACCUGUUACUCCAGUUUCAAGGGAUCUGAUGUUCUCUCUGACUUCCUUAGGCUCAUGCGUGCCUCUGGUGCAUGUACAUAUAUAUAAAAUAAAGAAUAUAGUUUUAUAAUAAAUUAAUAUAUUGGUCAGUUUCAUAUUCCUAUAGUAAAAUAUCUGAGACUAGGGGUGGCCAACCAUGGUGGCAUAGUCUGCACUACAUAGCAAGUUCCAGGCAGGCUAACCAGGGCUAAUAAUAAGACCGUAUCUAAGUCUCUAGGCUACAUAUGGUAGAACCACGUGGCUAGCUAGUAAGAUAGGGUAGGACCGAUUAGGUCUGGUUUCUUGGGAUUAUGACCCUGAUGACCUAAGGAUCUGCCCCACUAGGGCUCAUCUCCAGAAGUUCUGCUCCUUCCAGCCUUCUAGGGGUAUCAUCCUGGGGUCCUGGCUUUUUAUUAUCUUCUUGGCACUGUAUGAAGCUGCUGUGGCUGGCCUGGGACUCACUGGGGAAACUUUGGUUUUGCUUUUUCUAUUUUCCAGGGCUAGGCAUCAAAACUCAGCAUUUUCUCUUCCUAUGUUCUUCCUUUUAGCAGUCCUGGGCAUGGAACUUGUAGCCUUUCCACGCUGGGCAGGCACUGUGCCGCUGAGCUCUAUCCCUGACACACUGUUUUGUUUUGUUUUUGUUUUUUUCUGAGACAGCGUUUCUCUGUUUAGCUCUGGCUGUCCUGGAACUCAUACUUAGAGACUCAGAGAUCCACCUGCUUCUGCCUUCUGAGUGCUGAGAUUAAAGGUCUUACUGUGGAGUUUGGGACGAUUCUCGUUUACACGUGUAAGCAGAGCUGCUGGCCGCCGGGUCAGCAGGUGCCCGUGGAGGAAUUCUGUGUUAUACAAGAAGACCCAGA
Molecule: RNA transcript, 2402 nt
Organism: Grammomys surdaster
Lineage: Eukaryota; Metazoa; Chordata; Mammalia; Rodentia; Muridae
Gene: Pdcd2l
Gene name: programmed cell death 2 like
Exons: 7
Source: RefSeq, a predicted model, not a curated record